Molecule: unclassified non-coding RNA, 3393 nt
Filed under: Hevea brasiliensis (rubber tree)
Lineage: Eukaryota; Viridiplantae; Streptophyta; Magnoliopsida; Malpighiales; Euphorbiaceae
Source: RNAcentral
AUUUUUCUUCCUCCUUUUCCUCGUUUUUUAAUUUCUCUCUCUGCGUGUCUUUUUUUUCUCUCCUCUCUCAUAUUCAUUGCAGUGUUGUUCUUAAACCCUUAUUUUAUGGGGUACCCUCUACCAAAACAGCCCCCAAACCACACCUCUGAACUCUAGUUUUCUAUAAUCUAGUUAACCCUCGUUUCACUGGGCUCUGUUCCCAAGAACAUCAAAAGGUUUAAUCCUCCAAACUCCUACAUGCAGGUACACAUAUAAACAAAACCCCCCCAAUUUUCUAUCACCCAGAUAUUAUGUAAUAUGAUGGAUUAAGAUUCCACCCCUCCACAAUUAUAUCUAUAUUUGAUAUCUCAUUUUAAAUGAUAUUUGGGUUAUUAUUUUGUAGAGGGACGGAGGGAAGGGAAAGAAAUAGGAUUCGGCGACGUCCUAGUGAGCGUUAUAAUCUUGGUGUGGUGAGAUGUUGAAUUGGUGUAUCAAAGGGCGUUGAGUCUUUGUCAGCUCUUUAUGCUAUUUUCUUUUUUAACAAUUUAGUCUUUUGGCACGUCAGAUUGGAAAGGCUCUAGACUUUUAUUGAGAGACCCUAAAACCGUAGUCCUUUCUGCUCUAUUGCUACUUGUAAUAAUCUUAUUAGCUUUACUCAGACAUCUUCAGAGAAUCUAUUAAAACCGCAACCAACUCCAGAAGACCAGACCCUAGUAGUCAGACUGAUUAACCUUAAAAAACAGAAAGAGGGAGAUGGAAGCUGUUUAGGGUUUGUGGGCGAGUGAGGUGUGCCAUGUCCAGAAUGAAGUUCAAAGGGAAAAAGAAGUUGCUGGAUUCGACUCACCUUCAAGACUAAGCAAUCAGCUUUAAAAAUAUUUCUACAUCAAGAAUUUAUUAAUAUGUUCCAAGCAAACAUGUACGAGAGUCACCAUAUGUUCGAUAUGACCCCCAAGAGCUCUGAAAAUGAUUUGGGAAAGCUGAAAGAUGACGAUUAUGAGACCAAAUCAGGCACUGAGAACACUGAAGCACCCUCCGGAGAUGAUCAAGAUCCUAACCAAUGCCCUAAAAGGAAACGUUACCACCGCCAUACCCAGCGCCAAAUCCAGGAAAUGGAAGCUUUCUUUAAGGAGUGCCCUCACCCCGAUGAUAAGCAACGAAAGGAGCUGAGCCGUGAGUUAGGUUUAGAGCCUUUGCAAGUCAAAUUUUGGUUCCAGAACAAGCGCACGCAAAUGAAGGCUCAUCAUGAACGAACAGAGAAUGCGAUUCUGAAGGCUGAGAAUGAAAAGCUCCGUGCGGAGAACAGUAGAUACAAGGAAGCCCUAAGUAAUGCCUCUUGCCCUAACUGCGGCGGCCCAGCAGCCCUGGGCGAGAUGUCCUUUGAUGAGCAGCAUUUGAGGAUUGAGAAUGCUCGUUUACGAGAAGAGAUUGACAGGAUAUCUGGAAUUGCUGCCAAAUAUUUGGGCAAGCCCUUAUCUUCUUUGUCCCAUCUUUCUUCUCAUUUACAUUCCCGGUCCCAUGAUGUUGGGGUCAGUAGUUUCGGGGCACAAUCGGACUAUGUGGGAGGAAUGUAUGGAGCUACUGAUCUUCUGAGACCAAUCACUACUGGGCCUACUGGGGCAGAAAAGCCAAUGAUAGUAGAGCUUGCUGUUGCAGCAAUGGAGGAACUAAUGAGAAUGGCUCUGGCUGGAGAACCGUUGUGGGUUCCUGGUGAGAAUGCCACUGAGGUGCUUAAUGAGGAGGAGUAUUUGAGAGCUUUCCCUAGAGGCAUUGGGCCAAGGCCUUUGGGAUUGAGGUCAGAAGCCUCAAGGGAAUCCGCAGUUGUUAUCAUGAAUCAUGCUAACCUUGUUGAGAUUCUAAUGGAUGUGAAUCAAUGGUCUACUGCGUUUUGUGGAAUUGUAUCAAGAGCAAUGACCCUAGAAAUCCUAUCAACAGGAGUUGCUGGGAACUAUAAUGGAGCUUUGCAAGUGAUGACAGCUGAGUUCCAAGUCCCUUCACCACUGGUUCCAACCCGAGAAAUUUACUUUGUAAGGUACUGUAAGCAGCAUGUUGAUGGAACUUGGGCAGUGGUUGAUGUUUCGCUGGACAAUUUACGCCCUAUUCCAAUAUCAAGGAGUAGAAGAAGGCCCUCAGGUUGUGUCAUUCAAGAAUUGCCAAACGGAUACUCAAAGGUGAUAUGGGUCGAGCACAUCGAAGUGGAUGAUAGGUCUGUUCACAAUAUAUACAGGCCACUAGUUAAUUCUGGUCUAGCUUUUGGAGCAAAACGUUGGGUCGCUCUCUUAGAUAGACAAUGCGAACGUCUUGCAAGUUCAAUGGCCAUCAACAUUCCAGCGGGAGAUCUCUGUGUGAUAACGAGCCCAGAAGGGAGGAAGAGUAUGUUGAAGCUGGCUGAAAGAAUGGUGAUGAGCUUUUGCUCUGGUGUUGGUGCUUCUACAGCACACGCCUGGACAACAUUAUCUCCAACUGGGACUGAUGAUAUAAGGGUCAUGACCAGAAAGAGUAUGGAUGAUCCAGGUAGGCCUCCUGGAAUUGUACUUAGCGCGGCAACAUCCUUCUGGAUUCCGGUUCCUCCCAAGAGAGUAUUUGAGUUCCUAAGCGAUGAGAACCAUCGAAGAGAGUGGGAUAUCCUUUCAAAUGGCGGUCAAGUUGAAGAAAUGGCUCACAUUGCUAAUGGACGUGAUCCAGGAAACUCAGUUUCUUUACUUCGUGUGAAUAGUGCAAACUCAAACCAAAGCAACAUGCUGAUAUUGCAAGAGAGCUGCACAGACUCUACAGGGUCAUAUGUUAUCUAUGCACCAGUAGACAUUUCUGCCAUGAAUAUAGUGCUAAGUGGUGGGGACGCAGAUUACGUUGCUCUUCUUCCAUCAGGUUUUGCUAUACUUCCUGAUGGACCUGCAGGAUUUAGCCCCGGAGGAAUUGUUGAUGUUGGUUCCGGCGGUGCUCUACUCACCGUUGCAUUUCAGAUCUUAGUGGAUUCAGUUCCAACUGCAAAACUCUCUCUUGGAUCAGUAGCAACAGUAAACAAUCUAAUUAAGUGCACAGUUGAAAGGAUCAAGACUGCAGUGACUAGCGAGAAUAAUGCAUGAUUAGAAAGCCUAGAAGUAAUGCAAGGAAUUAUAUUUGAUGUUUGCUUCAAGACGUACUUAGAGCUAGAAGAAGUCAAGAGCGCACCUUAAAUGAUCCUGUUUGUUUAGGCAGAUAUGGAGUCAAAGGAAAGUCACUUCAAUUCAUCACCACUCUGCAAGGGUUAAAGGUUCGGGCAUUGACUUUGGCAUUCAUGUUUUUUGGUAGUUUUUCAGUAUUAAUUAUUCUUCCUGUCUCCUUUGUAGACUUCAAAUCUCUGGCUGUAGAUUUGCAUAACUGCUUGUUUAAUCCUAGCUUAAAGAUAAAAUCUCUCCAAUGGUGAAGAUAUGCAAG